Molecule: ribosomal RNA, 253 nt
Filed under: uncultured bacterium
Lineage: Bacteria
Description: partial 16S ribosomal RNA
Rfam family: Bacterial small subunit ribosomal RNA
Source: RNAcentral
UACGAAGGGGGCUAGCGUUGCUCGGAAUCACUGGGCGUAAAGCGUGCGCAGGCGGCGCGUUAAGACAGGUGUGAAAGCCCCGAGCUUAACUUGGGAAUUGCGCUUGUGACUGGCGAGCUGGAGUGUGGCAGAGGGAGGUGGAAUUCCACGUGUAGCAGUGAAAUGCGUAGAGAUGUGGAGGAACACCGAUGGCGAAGGCAGCCUCCUGGGCCAGCACUGACGCUCAUGCACGAAAGCGUGGGGAGCAAACAGG